Molecule: non-coding RNA, 845 nt
Organism: Paramuricea clavata
Lineage: Eukaryota; Metazoa; Cnidaria; Anthozoa; Malacalcyonacea; Plexauridae
Source: the annotation of a GenBank genome assembly
UAAAAUUGUUUCUGAUAAUAGUAAAUGUAUUAGGACAUCCGAAGGGGGUAGGGGGUUAACUUCCAAUUUCCUCCGUGGGGGUGGUAUGGAUGUUUUCUGGAAUGACCCAAUUCUCUUGGAGUAAUAAUCCUUUUUGGCUUUUUUCCAGGGCUGCAUAAUAUAGCGGACCGCGGGACCAUUGGUCCCAGAAAAUUUUUGAGGUUGACAGAAAAAAAAUGGAGGGUAAAACUUAAAAGUCUCAAAAGAAAAAAAAAGUAAAGAGAAAGAAAGGAAAAACAGAAAGGAAGAAAAUGACAUAAUUGAAUAAUAAGCUGUAGGCAGUGAACUAGUGAUGUUUGCAACAUGCAAGUAACGCAAGUUUCCAAUAUACCGGUACAGGCGGCACUCCAGCAGCCUGAUAUUAUGGUCAAAGACAGGCAGACAGCAGUAUAUUAAGACGAAUCCUCUAUGCGGUUGUUAUAAUUGAUUUCAUCUAGUGUAUUAGCUACUUCUGAAAAUACCACUCCAGUUAUAUAUGAAUACAACUCAUUUAACAACUACAGUAUGUGGAUUAAAAAGUCUACGAGUGUGGUGAUUUCUUACAAUGUAGUAAAAAAUCUAAGCAAUAUGUUCCAAUACACAACAGCCUUCUGUCCUUCUCAUGAACUUUCAUCCACUAAUUAAGAUGAUAUUCAUAACAAAUAUAUUAAAAUUAUAAGAAUCUAGAAUCUUAAUUUAAACUGCAGUCAGUUCCCAGUGGUCACUUUCAUUAUCCAUUAAAAUGUAAAUGUUUGUUGUUAAAUUAAAAUAUGAAGAAUAUGUAUUCCGUAGCCAGAAUAAAAUACGUCUACCCUACGCCAAGUGGU